AGUUAUUAAUAAUAAAAGGUAAAAUUAGGUUGUUAUUAUAUAAUUUAAAUAAAUUUAAAUUGAAGCUAAAAAAAUUUAGUUAAAAACUAGGAUUAGAUACCCUAUUAUUCUAAACUGAAAAAAAAAUAUGCUAGAUUAGUAGUAGUUAUUUACUUAAAAAUUAAAAAAUUUGGCGGUAAUUUAAUCUGACCAGAGGAACUUGCUUUUUAAUCGAUAUACCACGCAGAAUCUUACUUGCUUUUGUUAUAUUAUAAAUCAGUUUGUAUACCAUCAUUAUCAGAUAAUUUUAAAAGAAAAAAUUAUUAAUCAGUAAAUGUUUAUAAAAAUUAGAUCAUGGUGCAGCAUAUAGGCAAGUUUAAGUGAGUUACAAUAAAUUAUUUUAUACGGAUUUUCAAAAUUAUAUUUGUUAUAAAGGUGGAUUUGGUUGUAUUAUAAUUUUAAUAAGUUUAUAAGAAAUAUGCCCUAAAUUAUGCACAUAUCGCCCGUCGCUUUCAU
Molecule: ribosomal RNA, 495 nt
Filed under: Pachygrapsus laevimanus
Lineage: Eukaryota; Metazoa; Arthropoda; Malacostraca; Decapoda; Grapsidae
Description: partial 12S ribosomal RNA
Source: RNAcentral